Molecule: transfer RNA, 88 nt
Filed under: Erysiphe necator (grape powdery mildew)
Lineage: Eukaryota; Fungi; Ascomycota; Leotiomycetes; Helotiales; Erysiphaceae
Rfam family: tRNA
About the family: Transfer RNA (tRNA) molecules are approximately 80 nucleotides in length. Their secondary structure includes four short double-helical elements and three loops (D, anti-codon, and T loops).
Source: Rfam by way of RNAcentral
GGGGUUCUGGCCGAGUGGUUAAGGCGCUGUGUUUAGGUAUGAAAACCCGCAGUGGGAAACCGCGCAGGUUCGAAUCCUGCGGACCUCA